Pipra filicauda (Wire-tailed manakin) is the source of this 186-nucleotide small nuclear RNA. RefSeq annotates it as U2 spliceosomal RNA. The transcript has a single exon. NCBI's taxonomy places the organism in Eukaryota, Metazoa, Chordata, Aves, Passeriformes, Pipridae. The record is from RefSeq and is a predicted model, not a curated record.
ACAGCUUUUCAACCUUUUGGGGAAGCUCAAGUGUAGUGUGUUCUUACCAGUUUCUUAUCUGAUAGGUGGCUGCAAGGAUUCAUUGUUCAAUAGCUUUGUGGAGACAGGAGGUGCUUUGAGAGCUUGCUGCAGCCACUUCACAUGUGGUCCUGUUAUGGCAAUAGCUUCUGGUUCUUUGUUAGCCCU